UACGUAGGGUGCGAGCGUUAAUCGGAAUUACUGGGCGUAAAGGGUGCGUAGGUGGUUGUUUAAGUCUGUUGUGAAAGCCCCGGGCUCAACCUGGGAAUGGCAAUGGAUACUGGACAGCUAGAGUGCGGUAGAGGGUAGUGGAAUUCCCGGUGUAGCAGUGAAAUGCGUAGAGAUCGGGAGGAACACCAGUGGCGAAGGCGGCUACCUGGACCAGCACUGACACUGAAGCACGAAAGCGUGGGGAGCAAACAGG
RNAcentral lists this ribosomal RNA (253 nucleotides) under uncultured bacterium. RNAcentral's name for it is "partial 16S ribosomal RNA". It matches the Rfam family "Bacterial small subunit ribosomal RNA", at positions 524 to 776 of the family's 1533-position model. The record is from RNAcentral.